RNAcentral lists this non-coding RNA (31 nucleotides) under Mus musculus (house mouse). The record is from RNAcentral. Lineage: Eukaryota; Metazoa; Chordata; Mammalia; Rodentia; Muridae.
GUCAUACCCAAUAAGUUGCCAAACGAGGGCC